GGGAUUAGCCAGCAGGUGGGGUAAUGGCUCACCUAGGCGACGAUCCCUAGCUGGUCUGAGAGGAUGACCAGCCAGCACUGGAACUGAGACACGGGCCAGACUCGCGACGGGAGGCAGACAGUGGGGAAUAUUGCACGAUGGGCGCGAGCCAGUAUGCAGCCAUG
RNAcentral lists this ribosomal RNA (164 nucleotides) under bacterium. RNAcentral describes it as "partial 16S ribosomal RNA". It matches the Rfam family "Bacterial small subunit ribosomal RNA", at positions 237 to 396 of the family's 1533-position model. The record is from RNAcentral.